This is a long non-coding RNA of Hemicordylus capensis (graceful crag lizard), 380 nucleotides long. RefSeq lists it as uncharacterized. Lineage: Eukaryota; Metazoa; Chordata; Lepidosauria; Squamata; Cordylidae. The transcript has 2 exons. The record is from RefSeq and is a predicted model, not a curated record.
CUAAAGGAGAUCCUGAACACACCCGGUUCACAAAGGAAUCUUGAACAACAUUGAGUUUCACAGCUGCAAAGGCGACAGGUGGGAAGGCCAUGAUUUGCUAGGUGUAAGAAAGAGGCUGUUUGUGAUGAUGCAGGGUCUCCUGGGGUCCAAAGAGGAAAAGACUGCUUCUUCAUCCUCACUUUAUCUCCUAGGAAAAGCAACACCAGCAGGUGUCUUAUGAUGUUCUUAUAUGUUGACGACUUGGUUUCCUUUAAAAUCUCGGCACAGUUUGGACAUAUGGAUCAGGAUUUCGGAUUCUGGGGGGAAAUGAACAGUUAUAAAACCUUUUGUACAUGUAAAAGUGUAAAGCUGCAUCAGUUAAAAAUUAUUAUUUUCCGGAA